Molecule: long non-coding RNA, 916 nt
Organism: Sardina pilchardus (European sardine)
Lineage: Eukaryota; Metazoa; Chordata; Actinopteri; Clupeiformes; Clupeidae
Exons: 3
Source: RefSeq, a predicted model, not a curated record
UUAUGUAUUAUUCAUUCAACGCUAGUUAAGUUUUGUUCACCAUAUGUCAAUGUCUAUGUGACUUGUGCCUGCCGUGAUGUUAAGUAUCAUAGCCUAGCGUCUAGCUAUCGCUAGCCCAACAUUUGUUGCUAACGUUAUCUGUUAGAAACACUAAACUGUAGAUCUACCAAAGACUCUUUUCGGACGUGGCUCAUGUGUUUUCAUCACUGAAAACGAUUAUUUAUAAAAACUCCAAAGCCAAUAACUCCAGUUUCACGUUUGCAUGUGUAACAGCUAAAUGGUAUGAAGCAUGAUUAGUAUGUUCGACCUCCAUAUUAGUUAGCAUUUUUCAACUGGAAUUAUUGCAGCUUGGUCAUUAGCACUAGCUAGUUCUUUUCCUCAUGGUAGCAGCUACAGGAAUUGCUUUCAAAUUCUUUGAUUUUAUGUUAUUUCAUAUCAAUACAAAGUAGGCCUAUUUUGUUUGAGCAAAAACAUUAGUUUACUAUUUACUAUUUAUAUAAUUGAGUUAAUUUCAUUGAGCUUGGUGCUAACAUGAUCUUUUCUCUUAUAGAGAUGUUGUCAAGCAGACCAAAUCCCUGAAUGAACUUACAUCGACUGUGAUAGCCCAACGCACUCUUGUCCUGAAGGGAAUUCCUGUUUUACAUGGAUCAAGUCCAGCAAAUUCUACAGCACAGCAUUUGACGCUGUGACUGAUGGGACUAUCUCAUGUGUUGAUGUGCUCACUGUUCUUGGGGAGAUUGACGGCUAACAUCAUUUCCAGGGUCCAAGCUGCUGUCAGGUGUUAUGGUGGCACCUUAUUUCUGCUUGAUAUAAUAUAAUAUUAAUUUUCUGCUUGAUAUUACUAUGUAAUAAUUAUUACUAUUAUUAUUUUACUGCGGAGUCCAAGCACUCUUAUUUUACUUUAAAUAUGUUGAAU